RNAcentral lists this ribosomal RNA (497 nucleotides) under uncultured bacterium. Its description in RNAcentral is "partial 16S ribosomal RNA". It matches the Rfam family "Bacterial small subunit ribosomal RNA", at positions 28 to 507 of the family's 1533-position model. The record is from RNAcentral.
GAUGAACGCUGGCGGCGUGCCUAAUACAUGCGAGUCGAGCGAACAGACGAGGAGCUUGCUCCUCUGACGUUAGCGGCGGACGGGUGAGUAACACGUUGAUAACCUACCUAUAAGACUGGGAGAACGUCGGGAAAACGGAGAUAAUAACGGAUAAUAGAUUAAAACGCAUGGUUCAAUAGUGAUAGACGGAUUUGCUCUAACGUAUAAAUGGAACAGCGCCGUAUUAGCUAGUUGGUAAGGUAAGGGCUUACCAGGGCAACGAUGCUUAACCGACCUGAGAGGUUGAGCGGCCACACGGGAACUGGGACCCGGUCCAGACUCCUACGGGAGGCAGCAGUAGGGAUUCUUCCGCAAUGGGCGAAGGCUUGACGGAGCAACGCCGCGUGGGUGAUGAAGGUCUUCGGUUCGUAAAACUUGGUGAUUAGGGAGGAACAAAUGUGUAAGUAACUAUGCACGUCUUGACGGUACCUUAUCAGAAAGCCACGGCUAACUACGUG